GACGAACGCUGGCGGCGUGCUUAACACAUGCAAGUCGAACGGACAGGCCCUGCUUUUGUGGGGUGCUCGAGUGGCGAACGGGUGAGUAACACGUGAGUAACCUGCCCUUGACUUUGGGAUAACUUCAGGAAACUGGGGCUAAUACCGGAUAGGAGCUCCUGCUGCAUGGGGGGGGUUGGAAAGUUUCGGCGGUUGGGGAUGGACUCGCGGCUUAUCAGCUUGUUGGUGGGGUAGGGGCUUACCAAGGCUUUGACGGGUAGCCGGCCUGAGAGGGUGACCGGCCACAUUGGGACUGAGAGACGGAGCAGACUCCUACGGGAGGCAGCAGUGGGGAAUAUUGCACAAUGGGCGGAAGCCUGAUGCAGCAACGCCGCGUGCGGGAUGACGGCCUUCGGGUUGUAAACCGCUUUCGCCUGUGACGAAGCGUGAGUGACGGUAAUGGGUAAAGAAGCACCGGCUAACUACGUG
RNAcentral lists this ribosomal RNA (468 nucleotides) under uncultured bacterium. Its description in RNAcentral is "partial 16S ribosomal RNA". It matches the Rfam family "Bacterial small subunit ribosomal RNA", at positions 28 to 507 of the family's 1533-position model. The record is from RNAcentral.